UGGGGAAUUUUGGACAAUGGGCGCAAGCCUGAUCCAGCCAUGCCGCGUGCGGGAAGAAGGCCUUCGGGUUGUAAACCGCUUUUGUCAGGGAAGAAAUCUUCUGAGUUAAUACCUCGGGAGGAUGACGGUACCUGAAGAAUAAGCACCGGCUAACUACGUGCCAGCAGCCGCGGUAAUACGUAGGGUGCAAGCGUUAAUCGGAAUUACUGGGCGUAAAGCGUGCGCAGGCGGUUUUGUAAGACAGAGGUGAAAUCCCCGGGCUCAACCUGGGAACUGCCUUUGUGACUGCAAGGCUUGAGUGCGGCAGAGGGGGAUGGAAUUCCGCGUGUAGCAGUGAAAUGCGUAGAUAUGCGGAGGAACACCGAUGGCGAAGGCAAUCCCCUGGGCCUGCACUGACGCCCAUGCACGAAAGCGUGGGGAGCAAACAGGAUUAGAUACCCUGGUAGUCCACGCCCUAAAACGAUGUCAACUGGUUGUUGGGAAGGUUCCUUCUCAGUAAACGUAGCUAACGCGUGAAGUUGACCGCCUGGGGAGUACGGCCGCAAAGG
This 548-nucleotide ribosomal RNA is filed under the name uncultured bacterium. RNAcentral's name for it is "partial 16S ribosomal RNA". It matches the Rfam family "Bacterial small subunit ribosomal RNA", at positions 355 to 893 of the family's 1533-position model. The record is from RNAcentral.